AUGAUGUUUGAGCAUGUACUUUUUUUGAGUGUCUAUUUAUUUUCGAUUGGUAUCUAUGGAUUGAUCACAAGCCGAAACAUGGUUAGAGCUCUAAUAUGUCUUGAACUUAUACUGAAUUCAAUUAAUCUAAAUCUGGUAACAUUUUCUGAUCUAUUUGAUAGUCGCCAAUUAAAAGGAGAUAUUUUCGCAAUUUUUGUUAUAGCCCUUGCGGCUGCUGAAGCCGCUAUUGGACUAUCCAUUCUUUCUUCCAUCCAUCGUAAUAGGAAAUCCACUCGUAUCAAUCAAUCUAAUUUAUUGAAUAAUUAG
Molecule: ribosomal RNA, 306 nt
Filed under: Triticum aestivum (bread wheat)
Lineage: Eukaryota; Viridiplantae; Streptophyta; Magnoliopsida; Poales; Poaceae
Description: partial small subunit ribosomal RNA
Source: RNAcentral